AUAGAUGAUUGAUUGAACUGAAAAGAACAAAAAUUACAGAUAUGAAAAAUGAUUACGGGACUCCUUUUCUCACUCAGUAAUUGCCUGCCUAUUAUGCUUCCUUACGUUCUUAUUUAUAGCCCACUCCUAACUACUUCACCCUUUGCCAUUUGCUGCCUAACAGAAUUCUAUUUCUACUGCCCACCUCCCCCCUUGAGUCUUCUAGAAUAUGUAAACCGUAUUUGGGGUUUAUUAAUACCCCAGGGUCCAAAGACACCUUGUCCUCAAGGUGGAAGUUAAGAAAUUGUUGGCGUAUUAUUUCUGCUGACUCCCAGGUAGCUUCUGAUGGAGGCAAAUCUUUCCAUUGUAUAAGUACUUCCUUGCUUAGACCCUGCCCUGCUGUUGAACUCCUAACCCCCACGACUUGUUUAGGUUCAACCAUCCACUCCAGGUGCUCGGUUAGGUGAGGAGGAAGUAGUUAACUUACUUCGUUUGACCCCAGUGCUUUCUUCAGCUGAGAUAUAAGGAAGACAGGAUGUAUGGUUGCAGCAGGGGGUAGUUGUAAAUGAUAGGCGACCGGCCCCACUCGCUUUAUAAUCUCAAACGGUCCAAAGUACUUAGGCCCCAGCUUUUCGUUCUGCUUUCUCGCCAAUGAACGGAGGCGGUACGGUCGUAGCUUAACAUACACCAAAUCCCCUACUUCAAAAUGUAAGUCCCUUCGAUGUUUGUCAGCCUUUGUUUUCAUUUUGUUCUGAGCUUUUGGGAGAUGUGCUUUAAGUUCGUCUAGCAUGCUGUCCCGGUCCCUUAGUUGCUGCUCCACAGAAUCCACUGUUGUCUUCCUGCUGCCAUAGCGGAUCAACGGUGGUGGUUCUCUCCCAUAGACCGCCUUGAACGGGGUAGUGUUGGUGGAUGCGUGGAAAGUGGUAUUAUACCAAUAUUCCGCCCAAGGUAGCCAAGUGGACCAGGUUUUGGGCUUAUCAUAUGAGAAACAUCUCAGAUAGGCCUCCACGCAUCUAUUCACCACUUCGGUUUGCUCGUUGGUUUGGGGGUGGUAAGUCGUACUUCGCCUGAGGUAAGUCCCCUGCAGUUUGAAUAGUUCCGUCCAAAAUUGACAUAAGAAUAUUUUGUCCCGAUCAGAUAGGAUAGAGCAGGGAAUUCCAUGGAGUCGCACUACCUCCUUGACGAAAACUGCUGCAACACUAAAUGUUGUGAAUGGAUGUCUCAGUGGUAAGAAGUGCGCAUAUUUACUUAAGCGGUCAACAAUCACCAGGAUGGAGUUAAACCCAUUUGACUUAGGAAGUCCCUCCACAAAGUCCAUGGAAAUAUCCUCCCAUAUCAGAUUGGGGAUGGGAAGAGGCUGCAAGAGCCCGGCUGGAGAGAGCGCCCUAGUCUUAUUUUGCUAGCACACAGGGCAUUCUUCCACAAACUUCCGGACAUCCUUCCCCAUCCCUGUCCAAUAUAGAUCGCUAGUCAGCCUCUUGUAAGUCCUUAAGAAUCCUGAGUGUCCCCCUACAGCACUAUUGUGGAACUCCAGUAGUAUCUUAGGAAUUAAUGGUGAUGUGUGGGGAAGUACCAAUCUCCCUUUAUACAACAAUUUUCCUUGUUCAACAGAAUACCGGGGGUGUGCUUCCGGGUUGUCCUGCAGCUCUUUCUUAAUUUUAGACAACAGUGGGUCACCUUCGACGUGCGCCUCAAUCAUCUGUACAUCCAAUGUUUGUGGAAAGGUGAGAGCUUUUAACUCAACUGUGCCGGAAAUUCGGGACAAUGCAUCUGCUGCCGUGUUCUCAAUCCUAGGGCGAUAUUGAAUUUCGAAUUCAUAUCCCAUCAGCUUGGUUAUCCAGCAUUAGAACUCCCCAGGUACUGUCCUUUGCUCAAGGAGAUAUUUGAGGCUACGUUGAUUAGUGCGGACGAUAAAUUUCCUUCCCAGAACAUAGUGCCUCCACUUCUGUAUAGACAGUACAAUUGCCAUUAAUUCCUUCUCGUAAAUGGAUUUCUGUUGGGAUCGACUGGAUAGAACCUGGCUAAAAAAUGCAAUGGGUCGUCGAUUCUGCAUAAGAACCACCCCCAGUCCAUACCCCGAAGCAUCGGUCUCAAUAACGAACGGCUGUGAGAAAUCCGGAAGGGCUAAGACUGGGACUGUAGUCAUGGCCCUUUUUAGAUUCAGGAAAGCUGCCUCUGCCUCAUUAUUCCACCCAAAGGCGUCCUUCUUCAACUGAUCAGUGAGGGGUCGUGCAAUGGUUCCAUAUCCUGCCACAAACCUCCUAUAGUAGCCAGUCAAUCCUAAAAAACCUCGUAAUUCCCGGAGAUUACGAGGAACAGGCCAAUUACUCAUUUCUGCAAUUUUGUCUGGGUCGGCUUUCACACCUUCUGCUGAAACAAGGUGCCCCAGAUACUCUAUUUGUUGUUGGGCAAAGAGGCAUUUCCUUUCAUUGGCAUAUAGUUUGUUUUUUCCCAAGGUUGAGAAGACAAGGUCCAGGUGUCGUUCAUGUGCCGGUAGGUCUUUACUGUACACCAAAAUGUCGUCAAAAAACACAAGUACAAACUUCCUUAAGAAAUUUCGGAAUACCUGAUUCAUCAAUGAUUGAAAAGUUGCCGGGGGCAUUAGUAAGGCCGAACGGCAUUACUAAGAACUCGUAAUGACCUUCGUGGGUCCUGAAUGUAGUUUUUGGCACAUCCUCUUUCCUUACUCCGAUAUGAUGAAACCCAGACUUUAGGUCCAAUUUUGAGAAUACCGUUGCCCCAUGAAGCUCGUCUAGUAACUCAUCGAUCACUGGAAUGGGAAACCUAUCCGGUAUUGUUGCUUUGUUCAGAGCCCGGUAGUCCACACAAAAACGCCAGCUACCGUCUUUCUUUUUUACUAGUAACACAGGGCUUGAAAAUGGGCUGAUGCUAGGUUGAAUUAUCCUUGCAGCCAGCAUCUCCUUGACCAACCUCUCGAUCUCGUUCUUCUGGAAGUGUGGGUGUCUGAAAGGCCUUACACUGAUUGGAUCGGUCCCAGCCUUCAAAGUAAUAGCAUGGUCCAAGCCCCGGGCAGGAGGUAGCCUUCUUGUUUCUGUGAACACCUGCUUAUGUAGUCGUAUUAAUUUGAACACCCCUUCAGGUAUUUCUUCCUCUUUGCCCAUUAAAGCUCCACAUUCUGCAGGUUGCUCCAUUUCUACCCACAGUCCUUAACCCUCGUUCAAUAGGGCCUUUACCAUUGCUCUCAGGGACACGGCAGAUUUAUUCAAUCCUUGGUCUCCUCUCAGUGUCAUCCAAGUUUCCCCCAUCCGAAACUUCAUGGUUAGCAAUUUCCAAUUCACCUCCAUGAAACCCAAACUCCCAAGCCACUGCAUUCCCAAUACUGCGUCGGUGCUGCCUAACUCUAAGGGCAAGAAAUCUUCCACAAUGGUUAGCCCUUGCAAUUUCAACACUAUUCCCUUGCAAAUUCCCCGUCCAGUAACCGAUUCCCAUAUCCCCAUGAUGACCCCGUAGUGGUUUGUAGCCGUAGUCGGCAAACUUAACCUCCGUACCACCUCCUACGAGAUAAAAUUGUGGGUUGCCCCAUAGUCGAUGAGCACAACCACGUCAGUGGGCCUAACUGUCCCCUUGGGCUUUAUGGUUCUGGGAGUAGUCAGCCUAACCUCUGAGUUAAGGGAUAAUUCGAUUUUCUCACCCAUUUCCAGUGGAAUUUCCUCCGCCCGACCCCAUCGCCUUCCUGGACCAGUAAUACCCGCAAUUCUUUGUUCUUACAUUGGUGGCCCACCGUGUAUCGUUCUUCAUAGCAGAAGCAGAAGCAGAAGCACAAGCCUUUAUCUCUUCUCAAUUUUCACUCCGCGUCGGACAUCCUCUUGAUCGGACCUUCUCUUCGCUGGAUCGAUCCUUUCUCAGCUACUGUGAUAGUCUUGGUCGGGAAGGUCUCCAGUUUAGCUAGGUUGGAAUGAGUUUUAAAACCCCUCCGGGCUGUUGUUUCUUUAAACCUGUGGAGAAUAGCAUUCCUGUCUUCCACCUUUUGGGCUGUCUCCAUGAUUUGGCCCAACCCCUUUGGACCCAAUAAUCUAACCUCUGCUUUGAUAUCCGGUUUGAGUCCAUUUAAGAAUGUACUCUCCAUUACUUCAUCCGGUAUUCCAGCCAGAGGAGCAGCUAACAAUUCGAACUCUCGCCGGUAAUCUGCCACCGUUCCUCCUUGGUUGAUGGCCAAAAUUUUUUCGCACAGGCUACUUUCUUGUGUCGGCCGAAAGCGCAGUAGGAGUUGCUGUCGAAAUUGCUGCCAACUCCGAAAUGGUUCCCUCGUUUCGGCCCACCUCAGCCACAACAACGCAUCUCCAUCCAGACUAACCCCUAUCACCCUCAUCUUCUCCUUCUCCGUUAAUUCAUUUACCUCAAAAUAUCUUUCCGCUCGGAAAAGCCACCCGUCUGGGUUAUCUCCACUGAAAAUGGGCAUCUCCAAUUUCCUCACCUGCCGCCAAUUACCUCCUUCUUCAUUCAGGUCGUGUAACAUGGUUACUCUCCCCACGCUGGCCUCUCCUAGUCCUUCCGGCCAUUUUUCCUUGCUCAACGUGUGUUGGGUGUUCUCCGUUCUUUGAUGGUCAUGGAUUGGGAUUGGUCCUUCCGUGAUGAUACCACCUCUCUCAUUGUUACUGUUUAGUGCCCCCUUUGAGAUAGAGAGGACCGCCACUGACUUCCUAGUCUCCUCUACUGCUAACAUCAUUUUGGUCAUGUGCUGGGUAAACUGUUCCACUGAUUUUUCUAACCCCAGUAGGCGUUGCAAUUCCGUUUUGAUAUCCUCCACCUCCUUCUCCAUUGAAUCAAUCCUACCCUCAGUUUUUUUUUGAGCCAUAGGAACGAACGUGCUCUAAUACCAAUUUGAUAAGACUCUAAAUGGAAAACGAAACUAAACUUGAAAUAGAUGAUUGAUUGAACUGAAAAGAACAAAAAUUACAGAUAUGAAAAAUGAUUAUGGGACUCCUUUUCUCACUCAGUAAUUGCCUGCCUAUUAUGCUUCCUUACGUUCUUAUUUAUAGCCCACUCCUAACUACUUCACCCUUUGCCAUUUGCUGCCUAACAGAAUUCUGUUUCUACUGUCCACCUCCCCCCUUGAGUCUUCUAGAAUAUGUAAACCGUAUUUGGGGUUUAUCA
This 5094-nucleotide long non-coding RNA is filed under the name Olea europaea (common olive). RNAcentral's name for it is "long non-coding RNA (OEUR_LNC005213)". Lineage: Eukaryota; Viridiplantae; Streptophyta; Magnoliopsida; Lamiales; Oleaceae. The record is from RNAcentral.